Molecule: ribosomal RNA, 440 nt
Filed under: uncultured bacterium
Lineage: Bacteria
Description: partial 16S ribosomal RNA
Rfam family: Bacterial small subunit ribosomal RNA
Source: RNAcentral
CUACGGGGCGCUCCAGUGAGGAAUAUUGCACAAUGGGGGGAACCCUGAUGCAGCAACGCCGCGUGGGGGAUGACGCAUUUCGGUGUGUAAACUCCUUUUAUAUGUCAAGAAAAUGACGGUAGCAUAUGAAUAAGCACCGGCUAACUCCGUGCCAGCAGCCGCGGUAAUACGGAGGGGUGCAAGCGUUACUCGGAAUCACUGGGCGUAAAGGACGCGUAGGCGGGUUGGAAAGUCAGGUGUGAAAUCCUACAGCUUAACUGUAGAACUGCACUUGAAACUUCUAAUCUAGAGUAUGGGAGGGGGAGAUGGAAUUAGUGGUGUAGGGGUAAAAUCCGUAGAUAUCACUAGGAAUACCUAAAGCGAAGGCGAUCUCCUGGAACAUUACUGACGCUAAGGCGUGAAAGCGUGGGGAGCAAACAGGAUUAGAUACCCGGGUAGUC